This 563-nucleotide ribosomal RNA is filed under the name uncultured bacterium. RNAcentral's name for it is "partial 16S ribosomal RNA". It matches the Rfam family "Bacterial small subunit ribosomal RNA", at positions 355 to 911 of the family's 1533-position model. The record is from RNAcentral.
UGGGGAAUUUUGGACAAUGGGGGAAACCCUGAUCCAGCCAUCCCGCGUGUGCGAUGAAGGCCUUCGGGUUGUAAAGCACUUUUGGCAGGAAAGAAACGUCGCGGGUUAAUACCCCGCGAAACUGACGGUACCUGCAGAAUAAGCACCGGCUAACUACGUGCCAGCAGCCGCGGUAAUACGUAGGGUGCAAGCGUUAAUUGGAAUUACUGGGCGUAAAGCGUGCGCAGGCGGUUCGGAAAGAAAGAUGUGAAAUCCCAGAGCUUAACUUUGGAACUGCAUUUUUAACUACCGGGCUAGAGUGUGUCAGAGGGAGGUGGAAUUCCGCGUGUAGCAGUGAAAUGCGUAGAUAUGCGGAGGAACACCGAUGGCGAAGGCAGCCUCCUGGGAUAACACUGACGCUCAUGCACGAAAGCGUGGGGAGCAAACAGGAUUAGAUACCCUGGUAGUCCACGCCCUAAACGAUGUCAACUAGCUGUUGGGGCCUUCGGGCCUUGGUAGCGCAGCUAACGCGUGAAGUUGACCGCCUGGGGAGUACGGUCGCAAGAUUAAAACUCAAAGGAAUU